CAAAGGAGGCGACUCCGGUGACGGAUGGGCAUGCGGCGCAUUAGGUAGUUGGUAGGGUAACGGCCUACCAAGCCGACGAUGCGUAGGGGUUCUGAGAGGAAGGUCCCCCACAUUGGAACUGAGACACGGUCCAAACUCCUACGGGAGGCAGCAGUGAGGAAUAUUGGUCAAUGGCCGGAAGGCUGAACCAGCCAAGUCGCGUGAGGGAAUAAGGCCCUAUGGGUCGUAAACCUCUUUUGUCAGGGAGCAAAGGCGUCCACGUGUGGACGAGAGGAGAGUACCUGAAGAAAAAGCAUCGGCUAACUCCGUGCCAGCAGCCGCGGUAAUACGGAGGAUGCGAGCGUUAUCCGGAUUUAUUGGGUUUAAAGGGUGCGUAGGCGGAGUGUCAAGUCAGCGGUAAAAUUUCGGGGCUCAACCCCGUCGUGCUGUUGAAACUGACACCCUUGAGUGAGUGAGAAGUAAGCGGAAUGCGUGGUGUAGCGGUGAAAUGCAUAGAUAUCACGCAGAACGCCGAUUGCGAAGGCAGCUUACCGGCGCUCAACUGACGCUGAGGCACGAAAGUGCGGGUAUCGAACAGGAUUAGAUACCCUGGUAGUCCGCACAGUAAACGAUGAAUGCUAGAUGUCCGGGGCGAAUGAGCUCUGG
This 645-nucleotide ribosomal RNA is filed under the name uncultured bacterium. Its description in RNAcentral is "bacterial SSU rRNA". It matches the Rfam family "Bacterial small subunit ribosomal RNA", at positions 202 to 842 of the family's 1533-position model. The record is from RNAcentral.